UUGCUCUUUGCUCGAAAACUUGAAUACAAAAUAUAUUGAAGAACCAUGUUCCGUUGACCGCCCGCCUCUUAUUUAUUUUUAUUAUACUUUUUAGCAAUUUUAUGAAAACCUCUUUAUUCUUUUUUUUAUAUUAAUGAGAUUAGUUUCUCUUUUGCAAAUAAUAAUAAGAUACUAAAAUGGAUAUAUUCGAAAACGAAGAAGCAGAUAAAGACACAGUGGAGGAAAAUGAAUUGGAAGAACAAUUUCCAAAAAAAUAUGAUUUAAUGACCGAAAUAGAAGUGUCACUCAAGAAAACUUAUAUCAACAAAAUAAGCGGCACGAAAACAUUAAAGUAUUCAAUAAUUCUACCAGACAACACCAUAGAAGUAUAUGAGGUUAAUGAUAGCUCAUUGUCACGUGUGUGCUCCAUGAGCGGCCAUGAGAAGACGGUGACUGAGACUGUUUUCAACCCUAAUGAUGACAACAUACUUUUCUCAACAUCUGAAGAUGGACUUGUCAAGAUGUGGGAUACAAGAGCCGGUGGCUCCUGUGUACUAGAUUAUAAAGAUGAGGAGGAAAAGAUAAUUCGUCCAUACGAGUGCUUGGACGUGUCGUACAACGGGCGCGUCCUGUGCACCGGCAGCCAGCUGGUGGAGGACGACGCGUACCUCGUGUUCUGGGACCAGCGCGCGCCCAAGCCGCUCGGCGGCUACUGGAACACGCACACCGACGACGUCACGCAGGUGAAAUUCCACAAGGAGAAGGUGGAGAUCCUGGCGACGGGCUCGGUGGACGGGCUGGUGAACGUGUUCAACAUAAUGGAACAGACGGAGGACGAGGCCCUGACGCACACGCUGAAUGCGAAGUGCGCCGUCGACAAACUGGCUUGGGUGGGUGGUGCCGCUGUGGCGUGCCUCACGCAGGCGCACCAGCUGCAGCUGUGGAGCACCGCCAGCGCCCGGUGCGCCCUGCACUGCGAGAGGCAGCACAUCGCCGGGACCAUGAAGCGGAGCCGCGCGGACGACUGCUACCUGGUGGACACGGUGACGUCGGUGGGCGGGCGGCCCGUGCUGCUGGCCGGCUCCUACGGCGGCGAGGAGAAGACGCUCCGCGCGCUGGUGGUGGCCGGCGGCCGCCUGCUGCCCUACGCCAACUUCGCUCGCAACCGCCAGCUCGUGCGCUGCUGCCACCACGACCAGGCGAGGGACCUGCUGGUGACGGCGGGGGAGUCGGGCAUCGUGAGCGUGUGGCGCGGCGUGCCCGACCACACCGGCCUCGAUGAUGCAGACGACCUCGACCACAUCUCCGGCAUCGACGCCGACCUACGUGACGGUGACCACGUCGAUAUGGACGCUUCCGGUGAUUCCGACGAAUCCGGCGAGAGCGACGACUCCGAGGACGAAGACGGAUCCGAGGACGGCGACAGCUCUGAAGACGGCGAUGGGUCCGACGACGGCGACGGGUCCGACGAUGAUAAUAAAUCCGACGAUGGCGACAAGUCCGAUGAUGGCAACAAAUCUGACGACUGCGCCAAGUCUGACGAUACAGACAAAUCGGAUAAUUCUGUUAAUUCGGACGAUUCUGAUAAGUCUAAGGUUUCGGACAAACCGGACGACUCGGUUACACACAAAAAGUCGGGCCCGCUAGAACACUUAGAUACAGCGGACUCAAAUAAACAGGAAACGUUGAGCAAAACUGAAGUCUCAAAUAAAGCCUACGACUCGGAUAAAAUGGAUUCAUCGGAUGAGUCGUUCGAGUCGAGCGAAACGGAGGGUGGCGAAGUGAUGGACGAUGUGUCGGGCAAGCUGACGGGCGCUCUAGCCCGCCUGCAGGCGCGCCGCCACCGCCCCUACUGAGGGCACACCCUAACUCGCGGACAGGUGUCGGGCAAGCUGACGGGCGCGCCGCCACCGCCCCUACUGUGCGCACACCCUAACUCGCGGACAGGUGUCGGGCAAGCUGACGGGCGCGCCGCCACCGCCCCUACUGUGCGCACACCCUAACUCGCGGACAGGUGUCGGGCAAGCUGACGGGCGCGCCGCCACCGCCCCUACUGUGCGCACACCCUAACACGCGGCUUCGCAUACAAUGUUGUAUGAUGUCGGAGCUGCGCCGGAUCUAUCUUAAUAGGUUAAAUGAUUGUUGCUCAUUUUCAGUUCGUACUAUAAGCUUGCUUAUCGACUUUGUUUAUACUUCUAUUUAUGUAUAUAUAAAAAUGACAAUGACAUUAUUUUAGAUUUCUCAUAAUGCACUGUAUUCCGCAAGUCAAGCCCUUUCAAGUGAUAUAUAUAUAUAUAUAUAUAUGUUGGCGUUGUUGUACAAGAACAUGUGAUGCGCCAUUUUGUGAUGUCGGACUGGAUUUUUAUAUUGUACUUUAUUAUUUUUUGUACAAUGUGCUAAAAUCCAAUUGAAAAUAUAAAUUGAUUGAAAAAUAAAAGCUUAAAGAUGAACUGCUAAAAGUAGGAAUUGACCUAAAAAUGGUUUUUAAUAUUAUUUCAUUAACGUUUACAAGAAAUUUUAUUUAAAUAAGAUAAUUAUAGUUUUAACUCCGGAUCUGUGAAUCAGGGUUGAAACCUCUUAAAUUGUGAAGCUGUAACUGUGUCGACGCGUCACACUUGCAAUUUUAUUGAUGUUCGCGCGUGCUGAGUGCGCGCGUGUUGCGCGCUGAGUGCGCGCGUGUUGCGCGCUGCGUGCCGCGUGUUGCGCGCCGCGUGUUGCGCACUGCGGUCUGGCGCGGCCGUGUCUCUUGCGUAGAUCGUGAUCUAAGCUUUACUGAAUGUCCAAAGUGUAUGUACACAUCAAUAUGGGGUAAAAGUAUAUGUAGUGUGCUAGUUGCCGGCCGACCGCCCGAGCUCGGCGGUCCUGCAGCAGACCUGCGCUCGACGUCUUCAUAUCCUGCUGUUUUACUAACCUUUACAUGCACCAUGUACUCAAAUAUUGAUGUUGUUUUAUACGUAGAAUGAAAUUUUUCGUAUCGUUCGGUGAGUCGUAGUAGUAACCGGAUAGUCGACAUGUUGUAAUGUAGUUAGCUUUAAAGAUGAACCGAUGUAUCUCUCGCAAAACCCCCGUGUCCCCCCCCCUCCCGCCUACUCUGCGAGGUUCUCUAUUAUAUU
RNA transcript from Papilio xuthus (Asian swallowtail), 3092 nucleotides. It is a transcript of the gene named WD repeat-containing protein 89, with no coding region annotated. The record is from RefSeq and is a predicted model, not a curated record. Lineage: Eukaryota; Metazoa; Arthropoda; Insecta; Lepidoptera; Papilionidae. The transcript is spliced from 7 exons.